AGCAUCCUGGUGGCGAGUGGCGAACGGGUGAGUAAUAUAUCGGAACGUGCCCAGUCGUGGGGGAUAACGCAGCGAAAGCUGUGCUAAUACCGCAUACGAUCUCUGGAUGAAAGCGGGGGACUCGUAAGAGCCUCGCGCGAUUGGAGCGGCCGAUAUCAGAUUAGCUAGUUGGUGGGGUAAAGGCCCACCAAGGCGACGAUCUGUAGCUGGUCUGAGAGGACGACCAGCCACACUGGAACUGAGACACGGUCCAGACUCCUACGGGAGGCAGCAGUGGGGAAUUUUGGACAAUGGGCGCAAGCCUGAUCCAGCGAUGCCGCGUGCAGGAUGAAGGCCUUCGGGUUGUAAACUGCUUUUGUACGGAACGAAAAGGUCUGCCUUAAUACGGUGGGCCCAUGACGGUACCGUAAGAAUAAGCACCGGCUAACUACGUGCCAGCAGCCGCGGUAAUACGUAGGGUGCGAGCGUUAAUCGGAAUUACUGGGCGUAAAGCGUGCGCAGGCGGUUAUAUAAGACAGAUGUGAAAUCCCCGGGCUCAACCUGGGACCUGCAUUUGUGACUGUAUAGCUAGAGUACGGUAGAGGGGGGGAUGGAAUUCCGCGUGUAGCAGUGAAAUGCGUAGAUAUGCGGAGGAACACCGAUGGCGAAGGCAAUCCCCUGGACCUGUACUGACGCUCAUGCACGAAAGCGUGGGGAGCAAACAGGAUUAGAUACCCCUGGUAGUCCACGCCCUAAACGAUGUC
Molecule: ribosomal RNA, 743 nt
Filed under: uncultured bacterium
Lineage: Bacteria
Description: bacterial SSU rRNA
Rfam family: Bacterial small subunit ribosomal RNA
Source: RNAcentral